UAAGGAAUAUUGGUCAAUGGACGCAAGACUGAUCCAGCCAUGCCGCGUGCGGGAGGACGGCCCUAUGGGUUGUAAACUGCUUUUGUACCAGAGAAAACCUAUCUACGUGUAGAUAGCUGAUAGUAUGGUAAGAAUAAGCAUCGGCUAACUUCGUGCCAGCAGCCGCGGUAAGGCGAAGGAUGCAAGCGUUAUCCGGAUUCAAUGGGUUUAAAGGGUGCGUAGGCGGGCUUGUAAGUCAGUGGUGAAAUCUCUCAGCUUAACUGAGAAACUGCCAUUGAUACUGCAGGCCUAGAGUAUAGAUGACGUUGGCGGAAUAUGACAUGUAGUGGUGAAAUACUUAGAUAUGUCAUAGAACACCGAUUUCGAAGGCAGCUAACGAAACUAUAACUGACGCUGAGGCACGAAAGUGCGGGGAUCAAACA
RNAcentral lists this ribosomal RNA (422 nucleotides) under uncultured bacterium. Its description in RNAcentral is "bacterial SSU rRNA". It matches the Rfam family "Bacterial small subunit ribosomal RNA", at positions 355 to 774 of the family's 1533-position model. The record is from RNAcentral.